RNAcentral lists this ribosomal RNA (253 nucleotides) under uncultured bacterium. Its description in RNAcentral is "partial 16S ribosomal RNA". It matches the Rfam family "Bacterial small subunit ribosomal RNA", at positions 524 to 776 of the family's 1533-position model. The record is from RNAcentral.
UACGGAGGGGGCUAGCGUUGUUCGGAAUUACUGGGCGUAAAGCGCACGUAGGCGGCUUUGUAAGUCAGAGGUGAAAGCCUGGAGCUCAACUCCAGAACUGCCUUUGAGACUGCAUCGCUUGAAUCCAGGAGAGGUGAGUGGAAUUCCGAGUGUAGAGGUGAAAUUCGUAGAUAUUCGGAAGAACACCAGUGGCGAAGGCGGCUCACUGGACUGGUAUUGACGCUGAGGUGCGAAAGCGUGGGGAGCAAACGGG